UAGCUUAGUUGAUGAAGCAUGAGACUCUUAAUCUCAGGGUAGUGGGUUCAAGCCCCAC
This 58-nucleotide transfer RNA is filed under the name Pan paniscus (pygmy chimpanzee). It matches the Rfam family "tRNA", at positions 8 to 63 of the family's 71-position model. From Rfam's summary of the family: Transfer RNA (tRNA) molecules are approximately 80 nucleotides in length. Their secondary structure includes four short double-helical elements and three loops (D, anti-codon, and T loops). RNAcentral also lists the same sequence under 1 other name. Lineage: Eukaryota; Metazoa; Chordata; Mammalia; Primates; Hominidae. The record is from Rfam by way of RNAcentral.